This 286-nucleotide long non-coding RNA is filed under the name Mytilus galloprovincialis (Mediterranean mussel). Lineage: Eukaryota; Metazoa; Mollusca; Bivalvia; Mytilida; Mytilidae. The record is from RNAcentral.
AAAUAUGAAAAAAAGGGAUCAAGAUGAUACAAAUUAUGUGUCCCAUGCACGAAAGGUUGCCGUAAUUUUUGUUAAAUUGUCCCAAAAAAGGGAAUUCCAGAGCAAUCCCCAUGUCGAAAGUAAAUAAUUCUUAUACUAGUAUUUUGUACAAAGAUCACACUUUCGCCUCAUGCAAUAAUCAGGAAUUUUUAAAAUAAAUUCUUAUUAUUCGAGUUGAAUAGCAAUGUCCGACAUUUUGUCCCCUUCAAACCAAAUUAAACGUAGGGUUACGUUUUCUGUUUUUUCA